AGUGAACGCUGGCGGUAGGCCUAACACAUGCAAGUCGAACGGCAGCACAGUAAGAGCUUGCUCUUACGGGUGGCGAGUGGCGGACGGGUGAGGAAUACAUCGGAAUCUACUUUUUCGUGGGGGAUAACGUAGGGAAACUGACGCUAAUACCGCAUACGACCUACGGGUGAAAGCAGGGGAGCUUCGGACCUUGCGCGAUUGAAUGAGACGAUGUCGGAUUAGGUAGUUGGCGGGGUAAAGGCCCGCCAAGGCCACGAACCGUAGCCUGUCUGAGAGGAUUAUCCCCCACACUGGAACUGAGACACGGUCCAGACCCCUACGGGAGGCCGCCGUGGGGAAUAUUUGGCCAUGGGCGCAAGCCUGACCCAGCCACGCCGCGUGGGUGAAGAAGGGCUUCGGGUUUUAAAACCCUUUUUUUUGGGAAAAAAAAAUGCGUGGUUAAUCCCCCACGUUUUGACGGUACCCCAACAAAAAGCCCCGGCUAACUUCGUG
RNAcentral lists this ribosomal RNA (492 nucleotides) under uncultured bacterium. Its description in RNAcentral is "partial 16S ribosomal RNA". It matches the Rfam family "Bacterial small subunit ribosomal RNA", at positions 29 to 507 of the family's 1533-position model. The record is from RNAcentral.